GGGAAAAGAAACAGAAGAACAGAGAGAAACUGGGAGAAACCCGGAGAGAGACCUUGGUGGCUAAGCAUCUUGCACAGCUUUCCCAUUCCUUCACAGCUGCCUCAAAGCUUAAAUCAGAUUUCAGCCUGGGGGACCCGACUGUUUUCAAAUUUUGGUUAGAGGAAAGGCAUACCCUCCCAGGCUUUUCCGAGUUAGAGAAGAGCAUGUCCACUCCACGUGCUCCACAGCCCCACGCAAAGGUGUUGUUUGGAAUCAGAGUUGGGGAAAUGCAAAGAUUUUAGAAUUACAGGAGCUGGGAAAAGACAGUAAAUACAGGGUACCCCACACCAAAUCAGAAGUUUAAAAAAAAAAAGACCUUUCGUUCGGUAAUUUUGGAGGAAACCUGGCUGUGUAAUUAUAUUUGCUCUUACAGAAGACGGCAUCAGAGUUCCCUUAUUGGUUUGAAAUUCCAUUAAAUAUAUUGCAAGAGCUCCUAGGUUAAGCUUGAUUUAAAUUUGCAUACAUUUUCAUAUAUUUAGCUGAAAUAAAAGAAGGCUUGCAGCUACCAGAAAGUCAUUAAGGCAUUAGUUUCUCUAAGAAGACAGAUCUGAAGAAAAUGCAAGCAAAUGAGAAAAAAUUUUAAAAGCAAGGGUAAAGAAAUCUUCUGCUUUGCAGUACAUAGUUCUUGCAACAUCCAUCACUCAUACUGGAGGUUUUGUAUGUGAAGUGACCUUACCAAGAGAGCCUGCCCUCUGCAAGAAGAUUUCCAAUAGUGGCUGUUGUUUUUGCAGUCCACUGGUAGCGCUCAUCUGAUUUCACUUGUAAAAUUAGGUAUUUGCUAUUUGGCUGACAAGAGUAAUGGUCUCCAUUGUAUAAUUGAACAAAAGUAAUGUCAGUUAAUUUGUCCAUUUGGAAAAAAAAACUUAUAUUCAGUAGCGUCUGGAUGUAGAUUAAAUGACCAUGUUACUAUCAUUAUAUUACAUGAUUUUCCCAUACUCUUGCCCUACUCACAAGUAUAUUUUAAUUAAAUCAGCAAAUAAAAACUUAAGUAUGUAUUAAAUAUUUUUCAGUAUCUGAGAGGACUAAUAAGAAUGACAUUUAGGAAUCUUAAAUUUAAUAAAAUUAUGGAGAAAAAUAACUUAAUACAAUAAAAUAUAUAAUUUGAAAAGUGUGCAGUGUUUUAAUGUAUAUGCAUAUCCCAGAUUUUACUCCAUUGAAGGAAUUUUCAGGCUUCUUGGAGAACUAAUGACAAUAUUCAUUUGUGUGGGGAUCAUAUUGGGGAUCCUAUUGGGAAUUCUGCUUGAAAACUCUUCUUGUUGAACUGGAGAAAUUUGAACAAUAACUAAAACAGCAACACUGCUGUCAAAAGAAACAGAUGGGGCAGUAUCUGAGGUCAUUUCUUACAGUAUCUAAAAUUAAUUUACAGUAAAAUACCUACCUAACUAGGGGCUAAUUUCUUUUAAGAAUUUCUGAACUGGAAAAUGAGCUCACCAGCUUCCUGCUUCAAAUUUCUCUUUGUAGAACUGAUCAAGCGGAGGGAUGAGUAUUAUCUGAAAUGUAGAUCUGGAAAAAGAACAUUAACAAUAAUGGCAUUUCUUCACGGUGCUCAAUUAGAAAUAUGAGUGUAGCAAGAAUGUGCGGCUAGUAGAUGCCUUCACAUACAACAGUCUGUCCUCAGUGGGGUCAUUAGAAGGUCAGAUGUUGUGCCUCCUUGGGACAUUUAGCACAAACUAAAUCCUUCUCUCCAACUUCUUGUCUUCUUUUACUUUCUUGGAGAUUGGUUUCUCCUUGGCAAAAGUCCAAAGUGCUAAUUUCAUAAGUUGAAGGCCCUUAAAAUGGAUUUUGAAAACAUAACUUGACUGCCAGUGGGUGAUUAAUUUGCCACUAGGGGUAGGUGAAGGACAAGAAACACUCAUAUUUUUUUCUCAAAUUAAAAAGAAGAAAUUGGGGCUUCUAAGGUGUAGGAUGAUCACAAUUAAAUUAAUGAUUUUAAAAGAACUUGAGGAGAGAGAGAAAGAGAGAGAGCAAGUUAGAAAGAAAAAUAUGUAAAAAAUAUUCGAUGGUCUGUGUUUAAGAUUUAUUCUUCCAAUGUAAAAUAAAAGGUUAUAUUAUGUUAAUCAUUGUAUCAGCUUUUAGUAAUAUUGCAAAUGCUAAAAACACUUAUGUUUUUCAUUUUUUGCUUCCUGAAUUACUAUAAAGAUAUUUUGCAUAAGAAGACAUUGUUCUCCAUAUACUAAUGGUGUAUGAUGUAUCAAUAAUGCAAAUAAAAUUUUGGUAAAUAUAUGUGACUUGGAGUUUGGGGAAUUAUACAUUAUCAUAUUGUUAAAUGAGAAAUCAAUGAAUCUAGUACUAAUUAAAGAUGUAACCUAG
Long non-coding RNA from Peromyscus californicus insignis, 2349 nucleotides. RefSeq lists it as uncharacterized. Lineage: Eukaryota; Metazoa; Chordata; Mammalia; Rodentia; Cricetidae. The transcript has 3 exons. The record is from RefSeq and is a predicted model, not a curated record.